GGCAACUAUCAGUUGUGAUAGUCAACCACUUCUUCUCCACAAAUCUCUUCUUCUCCAAUCACUUCCCCAUUUUCCGACCACAUCUAACUUGACUACAUUUACAUUCAUGAUCCCCAAUGGCCACUUCACCGCCUCCUAUAACAAUUGAGAGUGAAGAUCAUCCUUCAUCAUUUAUUAUUGAUGUUCCAGCACUUCCGUCUGAUCCAGUCAAACAAAAGUCUGUUUGGCUUUGUGAUUACCAUCAGCCUACCACCACACUGCACAAGGCCAAUUCAACAUCUAACAACACACAUCUUAGAACCUAAGAUACACUUUCAAAUUUUAUCAAAUCAUUGUUUAUCUGUUGCUCAACCGACUUUUGUUGCAGCAAUUACAUCUUAGAACCCAAGAUAUUUGCACAGCCAGAAACUGAUCCUAAUUGGCAGGAUGCAAUGCCGGGCAUUAGAAUAAAAUAAUGCAUGGUCCCUUGUCCGUGUUCCGCAUCCCACAGGUUAAAAACAAAUAGUUGGUAGUAAAUAGGCCUACAAGAUGAAAUGUCAAAGUCCAUAAAGAAAGAGCUACAAAGCCAGAGUAGUGGCCAAAGGAUACAUACAAACGAAGAAUUUUAUUAUCAUGAAAUAUUUGCACAAUUGCACCUGUAACCAAACCUCGUAACAGUCAGGUGCCUCCUUGCAGUUGCCAAGUUGGGCAAACUGGUGGAAUUAU
RNAcentral lists this long non-coding RNA (705 nucleotides) under Aquilegia coerulea. Its description in RNAcentral is "long non-coding RNA (ACOE_LNC002115)". Lineage: Eukaryota; Viridiplantae; Streptophyta; Magnoliopsida; Ranunculales; Ranunculaceae. The record is from RNAcentral.